UGACAGGAGGUGACAGGAGGUGACACAGGAGGUGACAGGAGGUGACAGGAGGUGACACAGGAGGUGACACAGGAGGUGACACAGGAGGUGACAGGAGGUGACAGGAGGUGACAGGAGGUGACACAGGAGGUGACACAGGAGGUGACACAGGAGGUGACACAGGAGGUGACAGGAGGUGACAGGAGGUGACACAGGAGGUGACACAGGAGGUGACACAGGAGGUGACACAGGAGGUGACAGGAGGUGACAGGAGGUGACACAGGAGGUGACAGGAGGUGACAGGAGGUGACACAGGAGGUGACACAGGAGGUGACACAGGAGGUGACACAGGAGGUGACAGGAGGUGACACAGGAGGUGACACAGGAGGUGACACAGGAGGUGACACAGGAGGUGACACAGGAGGUGACAGGAGGUGACACAGGAGGUGACAGGAGGUGACAGGAGGUGACACAGGAGGUGACACAGGAGGUGACACAGGAGGUGACACAGGAGGUGACAGGAGGUGACACAGGAGGUGACAGGAGGUGACACAGGAGGUGACACAGGAGGUGACACAGGAGGUGACAGGAGGUGACACAGGAGGUGACACAGGAGGUGACACAGGAGGUGACAGGAGGUGACACAGGAGGUGACACAGGAGGUGACACAGGAGGUGACAGGAGGUGACAGGAGGUGACAGGAGGUGACACAGGAGGUGACACAGGAGGUGACACAGGAGGUGACAGGAGGUGACACAGGAGGUGACACAGGAGGUGACACAGGAGGUGACAGGAGGUGACACAGGAGGUGACAGGAGGUGACACAGGAGGUGACACAGGAGGUGAC
Poecile atricapillus (Black-capped chickadee) is the source of this 826-nucleotide long non-coding RNA. RefSeq lists it as uncharacterized. The record is from RefSeq and is a predicted model, not a curated record. The transcript is spliced from 3 exons. NCBI's taxonomy places the organism in Eukaryota, Metazoa, Chordata, Aves, Passeriformes, Paridae.